This 497-nucleotide ribosomal RNA is filed under the name uncultured bacterium. Its description in RNAcentral is "partial 16S ribosomal RNA". It matches the Rfam family "Bacterial small subunit ribosomal RNA", at positions 28 to 507 of the family's 1533-position model. The record is from RNAcentral.
GACGAACGCUGGCGGCGUGCCUAAUACAUGCAAGUCGAGCGAACAGACGAGGAGCUUGCUCCUCUGACGUUAUCGGCGGACGGGUGAGUAACACGUGGAUAACCUACCUAUAAGACUGGGAUAACUUCGGGAAACCGGAGCUAAUACCGGAUAAUAUAUUGAACUUCAUGGUUCAAUAGUGAAAGACGGUUUUGGUGUCACUUAUAGAUGGAUCCGCGCCGCAUUAGCUAGUUGGUAAGGUAACGGCUUACCAAGGCGACGAUGGGUAGCCGACCUGAGAGGGUGGUCGGCCACACUGGAACUGAGACACGGUCCAGACUCCGACGGGAGGCAGCAGUAGGGAAUCUUCCGCGAUGGGCGAGAGCCUGACAGAGCAACGCCGCGUGAGUGAUGAAGGUCUUCGGAUCGUAAAACUCUGUUAUUAGGGAAGAACAAAUGUGUAAGUAACUAUGCACAUAUUGACGGUACCUGAUCAAAAAGCCCCGGCUAACUACGUG